This 70-nucleotide transfer RNA is filed under the name Bos taurus (domestic cattle). It matches the Rfam family "tRNA". From Rfam's summary of the family: Transfer RNA (tRNA) molecules are approximately 80 nucleotides in length. Their secondary structure includes four short double-helical elements and three loops (D, anti-codon, and T loops). Further hydrogen bonds mediate the characteristic L-shaped molecular structure. tRNAs have two regions of fundamental functional importance: the anti-codon, which is responsible for specific mRNA codon recognition, and the 3' end, to which the tRNAs corresponding amino acid is attached (by aminoacyl-tRNA synthetases). tRNAs cope with the degeneracy of the genetic code in two manners: having more than one tRNA (with a specific anti-codon) for a particular amino acid; and 'wobble' base-pairing, i.e. permitting non-standard base-pairing at the 3rd anti-codon position. The record is from Rfam by way of RNAcentral. RNAcentral also lists the same sequence under 2 other names. Lineage: Eukaryota; Metazoa; Chordata; Mammalia; Artiodactyla; Bovidae.
UCCCAGGUGGCUAGUGGUAAAGAAUCUGUCUGCAAUGCAGGAGGCCCAGGUUCAAUCCCUGGGUCGGGAA